This 541-nucleotide ribosomal RNA is filed under the name Lactobacillus helveticus. Its description in RNAcentral is "bacterial SSU rRNA". It matches the Rfam family "Bacterial small subunit ribosomal RNA", at positions 76 to 603 of the family's 1533-position model. The record is from RNAcentral. Lineage: Bacteria; Bacillati; Bacillota; Bacilli; Lactobacillales; Lactobacillaceae.
AAUGACGCUGGGGACGCGAGCGGCGGAUGGGUGAGUAACACGUGGGGAACCUGCCCCAUAGUCUGGGAUACCACUUGGAAACAGGUGCUAAUACCGGAUAAGAAAGCAGAUCGCAUGAUCAGCUUAUAAAAGGCGGCGUAAGCUGUCGCUAUGGGAUGGCCCCGCGGUGCAUUAGCUAGUUGGUAAGGUAACGGCUUACCAAGGCAAUGAUGCAUAGCCGAGUUGAGAGACUGAUCGGCCACAUUGGGACUGAGACACGGCCCAAACUCCUACGGGAGGCAGCAGUAGGGAAUCUUCCACAAUGGACGCAAGUCUGAUGGAGCAACGCCGCGUGAGUGAAGAAGGUUUUCGGAUCGUAAAGCUCUGUUGUUGGUGAAGAAGGAUAAAGGUAGUAACUGGCCUUUAUUUGACGGUAAUCAACCAGAAAGUCACGGCUAACUACGUGCCAGCAGCCGCGGUAAUACGUAGGUGGCAAGCGUUGUCCGGAUUUAUUGGGCGUAAAGCGAGCGCAGGCGGAAGAAUAAGUCUGAUGUGAAAGCCC